This 448-nucleotide ribosomal RNA is filed under the name uncultured bacterium. RNAcentral describes it as "bacterial SSU rRNA". It matches the Rfam family "Bacterial small subunit ribosomal RNA", at positions 330 to 792 of the family's 1533-position model. The record is from RNAcentral.
ACCAGACUCCUACGGGAGGCAGCAGUGGGGAAUAUUGGGCAAUGGGCGCAAGCCUGACCCAGCAACGCCGCGUGAAGGAAGAAGGCUUUCGGGUUGUAAACUUCUUUUCUCAGGGACGAAGCAAGUGACGGUACCUGAGGAAUAAGCCACGGCUAACUACGUGCCAGCAGCCGCGGUAAUACGUAGGUGGCAAGCGUUAUCCGGAUUUACUGGGUGUAAAGGGCGUGUAGGCGGGGACGCAAGUCAGAUGUGAAAACCACGGGCUCAACCUGUGGCCUGCAUUUGAAACUGUUUCCCUUGAGUGUCGGAGAGGUAAUCGGAAUUCCUUGUGUAGCGGUGAAAUGCGUAGAUAUAAGGAAGAACACCAGUGGCGAAGGCGGAUUACUGGACGAUAACUGACGGUGAGGCGCGAAAGCGUGGGGAGCAAACAGGAUUAGAUACCCCAGUA